RNAcentral lists this ribosomal RNA (493 nucleotides) under uncultured bacterium. RNAcentral's name for it is "bacterial SSU rRNA". It matches the Rfam family "Bacterial small subunit ribosomal RNA", at positions 30 to 511 of the family's 1533-position model. The record is from RNAcentral.
AUUGAACGCUAGCGGCAUGCUUAACACAUGCAAGUCGAACGGUAACAGGUCUAGCUUGCUAGAUGCUGACGAGUGGCGGACGGGUGAGUAACGCGUAGGAAUCUACCUUGUAGUGGGGGAUAACUUGGGGAAACCCAAGCUAAUACCGCAUGAGCCCUAAGGGGGAAAGCAGGGGACCGAAAGGCCCUGUGCUAUGAGAUGAGCCUGCGUCGGAUUAGCUAGUUGGUGGGGUAAAGGCCUACCAAGGCGAGGAUCCGUAGCUGGUCUGAGAGGACGACCAGCCACACUGGGACUGAGACACGGCCCAGACUCCUACGGGAGGCAGCAGUGGGGAAUAUUGGACAAUGGGCGCAAGCCUGAUCCAGCAAUGCCGCGUGUGUGAAGAAGGCCUGCGGGUUGUAAAGCACUUUCAGUGGGGAGGAAGGUCGUCAAUGCUAAUAGUAUUGAGAAUUGACGUUACCUACAGAAGAAGCACCGGCUAACUCUGUGCCAG